RNAcentral lists this transfer RNA (74 nucleotides) under Thermoplasmata archaeon. RNAcentral describes it as "tRNA-Thr". It matches the Rfam family "tRNA". Rfam says of the family: Transfer RNA (tRNA) molecules are approximately 80 nucleotides in length. RNAcentral also lists the same sequence under 1 other name. Lineage: Archaea; Methanobacteriati; Thermoplasmatota; Thermoplasmata. The record is from RNAcentral.
GCCACUGUAGCUUAGCUGGUUAGAGCGGCAGUUUCGUAAACUGCAGGUCGUGGGUUCAAAUCCCCCCAGUGGCU